GAUGAACGCUGGCGGCGUGCCUAAUACAUGCAAGUCGAGCGAACAGACGAGGAGCUUGCUCCUCUGACGUUAGCGGCGGACGGGUGAGUAACACGUGGAUAACCUACCUAUAAGACUGGGAUAACUUCGGGAAACCGGAGCUAAUACCGGAUAAUAUAUUGAACCGCAUGGUUCAAUAGUGAAAGACGGUUUUGCUGUCACUUAUAGAUGGAUCCGCGCCGCAUUAGCUAGUUGGUAAGGUAACGGCUUACCAAGGCAACGAUGCGUAGCCGACCUGAGAGGGUGAUCGGCCACACUGGAACUGAGACACGGUCCAGACUCCUACGGGAGGCAGCAGUAGGGAAUCUUCCACAAUGGGCGAAAGCCUGACGGAGCAACGCCGCGUGAGUGAUGAAGGUCUUCGGAUCGUAAAACUCUGUUAUUAGGGAAGAACAAAUGUGUAAGUAACUAUGCAGGUCUUGACGGUACCUAAUCAGAAAGCCACGGCUAACUACGUG
This 497-nucleotide ribosomal RNA is filed under the name uncultured bacterium. Its description in RNAcentral is "partial 16S ribosomal RNA". It matches the Rfam family "Bacterial small subunit ribosomal RNA", at positions 28 to 507 of the family's 1533-position model. The record is from RNAcentral.